This 228-nucleotide unclassified non-coding RNA is filed under the name Hevea brasiliensis (rubber tree). The record is from RNAcentral. Lineage: Eukaryota; Viridiplantae; Streptophyta; Magnoliopsida; Malpighiales; Euphorbiaceae.
AGCGCCGUCAGGGCGUGCCCUAUCCGCUUGAAGAAGCCGUAACGGUACUCGAUCCGGACACGAUGCAGCCCGUGCCACGCGACGGCGAAACCAUCGGCGAGGGCAUGNUCCGCGGCAACAUCGUUAUGAAGGGUUACCUUAAGAACGAGAAAGCCACCAAGGAAGCUUUCGAGGGCGGCUGGUUUCACACCGGCGAUCUCGGCGUGCUCGACAAGGACGGCUACGUCA